GAUGAACGCUGGCGGCGUGCCUAAUACAUGCCAGUCGAGCGAACAGACGAGGAGCUUGCUCCUUUGACGUUAGCGGCGGACGGGUGAGUAACACGUAGGUAACCUACCUAUAAGACUGGGAUAACUUCGGGAAACCGGAGCUAAUACCGGAUAAUAUUUCGAACCGCAUGGUUCGAUAGUGAAAGAUGGCUUUGCUAUCACUUAUAGAUGGACCUGCGCCGUAUUAGCUAGUUGGUAAGGUAACGGCUUACCAAGGCAACGAUACGUAGCCGACCUGAGAGGGUGAUCGGCCACACUGGAACUGAGACACGGUCCAGACUCCUACGGGAGGCAGCAGUAGGGAAUCUUCCGCAAUGGGCGAAAGCCUGACGGAGCAACGCCGCGUGAGUGAUGAAGGUCUUCGAAUCGUAAAACUCUGUUAUUAGGGAAGAACAAACGUGUAAGUAACUGUGCACGUCUUGACGGUACCUAAUCAGAAAGCCACGGCUAACUACGUG
Molecule: ribosomal RNA, 497 nt
Filed under: uncultured bacterium
Lineage: Bacteria
Description: partial 16S ribosomal RNA
Rfam family: Bacterial small subunit ribosomal RNA
Source: RNAcentral